UACGGGAGGCAGCAGUGGGGAAUAUUGCACAAUGGGCGCAAGCCUGAUGCAGCCAUGCCGCGUGUAUGAAAAAGGCCUUCGGGUUGUAAAGUACUUUCAGUCGUGAGGAAGGUGUUAAGGUUAAUAACCUUAGCAAUUGACGUUAGCGACAGAAGAAGCACCGGCUAACUCCGUGCCAGCAGCCGCGGUAAUACGGAGGGUGCGAGCGUUAAUCGGAAUUACUGGGCGUAAAGGGCACGCAGGCGGUUAAUUAAGUUGGAUGUGAAAUCCCCGGGCUUAACCUGGGAAUGGCAUUCAAGACUGGUUAGCUAGAGUCUUGUAGAGGGGGUAGAAUUCCAUGUGUAGCGGUGAAAUGCGUAGAGAUGUGGAGGAAUACCGGUGGCGAAGGCGGCCCCUGGACAAAGGCUGACGCUCAUGUGCGAAAGCGUGGGGAGCAAACAGGGAUUAGAUACCCGU
RNAcentral lists this ribosomal RNA (456 nucleotides) under uncultured bacterium. Its description in RNAcentral is "bacterial SSU rRNA". It matches the Rfam family "Bacterial small subunit ribosomal RNA", at positions 340 to 789 of the family's 1533-position model. The record is from RNAcentral.